RNAcentral lists this long non-coding RNA (1382 nucleotides) under Vulpes vulpes (red fox). Its description in RNAcentral is "lncRNA (ENSVVUG00000027591.1)". The record is from RNAcentral. Lineage: Eukaryota; Metazoa; Chordata; Mammalia; Carnivora; Canidae.
GUGGCAUUCCAUAAUUUGCAUAUGAUGAUUUCAUAAAGAGAUUGAAACCAGAAGUUAUUGUUAUUUUUUUUAUAUUUCCAGAACAAGUAAAAGUAAUAGGUUACUUCUAGUUCUACCGAUGACCCAGUAGAUUCCAAUAUAUAUCCCAGUAUAUCCGAUGAUGGCUAAUAGCUGCAUUAUCCAUCACAAGGAAAUACAAGUUCAUAAUUCAGAGGGUGGAUGCAUUCAUUCGUCAUUCAUUCAGUCAAUACGUGUCCAGCACCUACUUGACUCUAGGCCUGAUUCUGGGCUACAGAGAGACAGCAGAGAGCAAAAUAAGGCCCCUGUUCUCAGACAGUUAACAUGCUGGGGGAAGACUUCUUCAACCCAGUUGAAUAGGUGAGCUAAUUGAAAGAGGGAUUCUACAAAGAGCCUCCAGGGUGUCUUGUUAAAUACCUGGAAUGUGUUUAACUAAGAUAAAGGAACUUGUUAUGGAAGAGACUGUAAGCCAAAAAUGUAAGCACACUUCAGAAGGUAUCAGACAAAAUAAUAUGUGAUGCAGUCGUAAGUGUCAAUGUAUGAAGCAUGUAUGUAUUCAGGUUACAAAGAAAGUAGGAGGCACUCCUUAAUUUUUCAGAAUUGUACUUUAGAGAGCGCAUUUAUCUUUAUUUUUCAUUGGGUUCCUUGUUUUGAAGUAUAGUUGACAAUAUUACUUUAGUCACAGGUGUACCACGUAGUGAUUGAACAAGUCUGUAUGUCAUGCUGUGUUCACCCCAAGUGUAGCUACCAUCUGGCACCAUCCAGCGCUAUGAUAAUGCCGCUGACUAGAGUCCCUAUGCCGUACCUUUCAUCUUCAUGUAAAGGGUAUUUGUCUUUAAACAACCUUAUCUUAAAAUGAUUUGAAACAGGCUAUUGACUCCCACUUUUAAGUGGAGCGUUUUUCAAGUAUUAUAGAAGGAAACAAAAGAAAAACAGUGACUAAGAGUGUAUGAACUCAUAAGAAACACCUUAAGUCUUUUUCAAGAGCAGUUAGUAGCAAAAUGACAAAACCAUGCAUGUAUAAAACCUGUAGAAGGGCACCUGAAUGGCUCAGUCGGUUGAGCAUGUGACUCUUGGUUUCAGCUCAGGUCAUGAUCUCAGGGUCGUGAGAUCAAGCCCCAUGUUGGGCUCCAUGCUCACCAGGGAGUCUGCUUGAGGACUUCCUCUUUCUCCCUCUACUUCUCCCUUCCCUCUAAAAUAAGUCUUUCUUUCUUUCUUUUUUUUUUUUUUUAUAAAUUUUUAAUUUUUAUUUAUUUAUGAUAGUCACAGAGAGAGAGAGAGAGGCAGAGACACAGGCGGAGGGAGAAGCAGGCUCCAUGCACCGGGAGCCCGACGUGGGAUUCGAUCCCGGGUCUCCAGGAUCG